GUGUUUUCUGCAACACACUAUCAGUGCUCUGGGGCACUGCUGUCUGCACUCACACUACUACUGUCUGUAGCAGGUCCCUUUGGUAUCACAAUGGGCAUCAGAGUCAGGACCAGUGUUGUGGGGAGAGUGCCCCUUCCUGAGCUGCUCACCAUGCUCACUGAGAUAUUUUUGGUGGUCCUCCUAGCUGGAAGCACAGCCAGCUCUACUUAGCUUGUGAAAUCUGAAAGACACGAAGGAGAGCACAGCUGAGAUUUUCAGGGCUGCCUAAGGGAUCUGGAUUCCCCGGUCACAUGAACAUUCAUGAGAAUGGGAUACCCCUUUGUGGCUUGAAAAUCUCAGCCUGGAAAUACUGUUUUGGUUGCUGCCUUUUAAAACCAAGACCAGAGAAGAGCAGUUCAUUGCUGCAAGAUCUGAUAAGAGGUAAUUUUCUCAUUGAAGCAGAACAAACCAGCAAACCUACAGCCACAGUAGCCACUAUGGGAUAUGCAAAGGAGUCUAAGGGGGGUCGGAUACCCAAAUUAAAUGCAUGUUGAAUGCCUGAUUUCCUCAGGCUUCUCUGAAAAAUCUCAGACUCUGUGUCGAAUCACUUCGGUGGCUUUGCCUACCUCAGCCGGAUAUAAAAAUGAUUUUUGAGUAUUCCAUAUAGAAAUCUGGGGGGAAGUCAAUGCACGUAGCUAGAGAGCUACAAUAGGGCCUGACACCUUAAAAUUAAGUUGCUUUUUAAGUGUGUGAUGAUUCCUUUGGAGCCCCAAUAUUAAAGUCACCAUGACUGACUCUUUUGCUUAAGCAUUUAUCUUAAGCAAACCAGCCUGCUGUAGGAUGUGGCUACUAUGGCACAACUGUCUGAAUACCCCUACUGAAUUCUAGUCAACAGGCUACAAUGUAAAAAGAAAUGUGACUGAACAAAAAAGGCAAAAGGUAUAAUAAAUCCUGUAGGAUUUUCAUAGGGGCUGAGAUUUUUCAAAGGAUGCACAGGGGUUUAAUACAGUGCCUAAUUUCUCUACGUCCCUUUGGAAAGUCCAAACAGGUAGCACAGUGUUCUUUUACAGUACAUAUGCAACUUCCUUUCCAAAGGCACACAAUCACCAAUAUCAAACUUAAAUACAGAUCAAAUAAUAUAUACAGCACUACCAUGGAACCAAAGCUUCAACCUGUGGUCUGUGUUCAGCAUCCAGAGAGUCAAAAGCAAGAUUUUUCAAAGUAGCUUAAGGGAAUUAGGUCGCUAUCUCAAAGGCAUGGAUUAUGGUGCCCCAUUUCCCAGUUAAGUAGAAAUACAAGCAGUGCAUACUGUAUCUUUGCACAGGGUUGAUUUUCACCCUAGAUCAGAGAUAUUCAUAGACCAUUAAGGAGACUAGGAUGACCUGUUUAAUUAUUAAUUGAAACUGAGUCUUCAAAUAACUUUUGGAGACUUUGAAAGUCAAAGUCUAGAUUUAGAAGGGGACAGGAAUAGCCUAUAAACUCUUGUUCCCUGUUCAAAUCUCACCUGCAGUGGCCAAAGCAUGGCAAAAGAUGCUUUGUAACAAAUGGGAAAAAUCCCACUGGGUCUCAGCUGUAGUUGGGCAAAAUUUGGUAAUGGGGAAGAAAUUGUUAGAAAGUUCAGAACUUUAAACAAAGAGUAUCUUAAAAUGUUGAGAUUUAAAAAAUGGGGGGAAAAAUAACAUUUUUCACUGUUUUUUGUUUUCUUUUUAAACAGCUUUAGUUACAUUCUGAUUUUCUCCCUGUCACAAAGUUAGCAGUGCUGUAGCAGGCUGUAACAAGCUGCUAGAGCUAAAGGCUAGUCUGACUCUUUUUCCAUCACAAAGUUAGCAGCACUGUAACAGGUUGCUGAAGCUACAGCCCAGCUGCAGGCAGCAAUGCUAAGUCCAGGCUGCUCAGGACAACUGGGCCAGCUGAGAGAGAUAUUUAGCAGCUACAGGAAGUUAAAAGGCUUCUGGGCAGGGGGAGUGGCUAAGCUAAUGACUACAAUGCUGGAUCAGGGAUUCUCAGGGUUUGGAAACAGCACCAUGGGGAAAGAGGAGUAGCAAGGUAGAGGCACCUUCUCAGGGGCUGAAAAGGUCUGAGACCUGUAAGUUAGCCCUUCACGGGCAGUGUUUGUGGACUGAGUGAUGUAGGAGUCUGCUUGUGGGGCAGAUGUGCCUUGGGAAUAAAGGACUGCAUUUUGAUUAAAGGCUUUCUGAGCUAAGCAAUAAUCCCAAACCCACUACAAGCACCAAAUAGGCAUGACUCGUAACCUCCCCCUGGAAGACCAAGCAGCAUAGCAAAGGAUGGAAUUUGCCAUAGAGACUGAACUUCUCUUCCCCUCUAUUUCAUUCUUCCUUUUCCAGACUGAGCUGUGGUAAGGCAGGGUAAGGGAACUUGCAUAGUUCCUAUCUUUGCUGUGCAUAUCUUGUGGUUAAGGGAGGAAUUCAUUCUCUAGAGCAGAGGUUCUCCAACUGUGGUCUGCGAGCUCCAUUCAGGUGGUCCACAGAAAGGUGACCUAAGGCUAAAGCUGACAAACAUUACACCUGACUUCCCAGAACUUUACUGAAAAAAACAGCAGGCCUAUCCACUGCAUUAGAAAGAUGCUGGUCUGAAGAUAAGCAGAACCCUGACAACAUUGAACUGUCUGUAAGCAGUAAAUUGUGUGAGGCCUGAAGGACAAAACUGAACCAAUAAGGACCACAGGGCACAAAGAUAUCCCAUGUUCCUGGCUACUUUGGGCCAGCACCUGAGUUCCUCUAGUUCCUAUUUAUGUUCCUUCUUGCAUAUUGCUACCUCAAAGUCAUUCCUUCCUGAACUCAACAGUUCCAGGCAGGGCUAAUACAACCUGCCUCCCAGACAUAGGGUACAUUGCCACACCACUGCUCAUGGCAAUGCUCAGUGCUCAUGGCAAUGCACUGUUCUGCCGUGCCUUGCUUUGCAUUGCUCCGUACUCCUAUUAGCUUGCUUUGUACUGCCUGGCAUUUGACAUGUUCUGCAUUAGAUUGCUUUGCAUUAUAUUAAGUUCCCUGCGAUACGCUGCAUUGAACAUCUUUGCAGGAGAUGACACUAUCCUCCAGUGCUGUUCUGCAGCCCUCCUGUUCAUGCUCCUCUUAGAUUGAAUGAAUCAGUCUAUGCAAAAUGCAACAUCUUCAUGGGACAGCCUGAGUGUAAACCCUGCAACCAGGAUAUAAAAAGCUUGGUGGUUGGAGCACGCUUUGAGUCAGUGUGCGUUCACAUUCUAGAUGAGUGCCCCAACCCCUAGAUAAAGUAGCAUUUUUGUGUGUCUAGCAGCUGCGUGAAUCUGGUGGGUUUCCCCCACACCCAGCAAAAUCUAGUUGGCAAGGGAAACCUGUAUUUGUAAAUUACUGCAGAACAACUGAAGCCACAUUUUCAACUGGUAGUUUCACCCAGCAUUAAUGUCUAAAGCACAGUGCUAUAUUUCUCAUCUCUGCUUUACAUUGCUUAUAACAUUGCACAAACCUGUAUUUCUGCCUUGAUUUCCCUUGUGUUUUGCAUUGCAUUCCUGCUUUAUUUUAUGUUUUUUUUACUCUGCAUUCCAUUUUUCUCACUGCACUGCUUUGUCUUGCACAAUUUAGAUGGCUUUUUUUCAUUGCAUUCCUUCUCUCUAAAAAUCUACAUGUCUAUCCCAAUGUAAAGCAGGUAAGAAAUACAUUCACGUUUCUCAUUGCAAUUUCAAAUACACUAGCUCUUCCAAGUAUAUUUUCCUUUCUCACUUGAAUUUCCUUUAGACAUUUAAUUAUUAAGAAUGGAAAAGAGUAAUAAAGUAUUUAAAAUAAGAAGCACAAAGGGAAAGAGCUACUGUAGAUUGCAAAUGGGGGAUUUUAUUUUUUUAUUUUUUUAAGGAGGGGCAGUUUUGUGGUCCUACAGUGAAGUGGAGGAUGGGCUGAAGAAAGCAUGAUAAAUGACUAUAUGCACACUGCUAAAAACAGUGUGGCCUUGACUUAAUUUUCUUCUAUUACCUAUAUUCGCUUCCCCCCAUAAACAGUAUAGCUUUGACUUUUUUAUUUUCUUUUGCCUACAAAUACCAUAUAUUUAUAUCUAUAGAAAUAUAGAUAUAGAUAUUGGGCUUUUGGAGGUAAUGGAAGAGAAUGAUGAAGCCAAAGCUACACCAUGUCUUGAUGAACUUUGAAAAUUUAAAAUGGUGUUUAAGGGCUUUAACAAUACCUGGCAGUGCAAAAUAAGGAAAUUGAAAAGAAGUAAGGAUAAAAAAUAUGGACAUUUAAGAGGAUAUUUUUCUUGCUUACAUAAAAACAAACCAGGGACAAACUGCAUGUCUUUAUCUUUUUGGUUCUUAACCCUUUCUGAACUAUAAUACUAUGGUACAAUGGGAAAAACUUUUGUCAUACCUUUCCCACUAGCAAUAGGUUAUUAAAGCCUCUUUGUGCACCCCGUGUUGUAAAUCCAAACUCUAUCUACAGAUAUGUUGUUCUGAUUAUAUAUAUAAAAAAAAUAAGCAUCUGGUAUUUUU
Molecule: long non-coding RNA, 4450 nt
Organism: Alligator mississippiensis (American alligator)
Lineage: Eukaryota; Metazoa; Chordata; Crocodylia; Alligatoridae
Exons: 2
Source: RefSeq, a predicted model, not a curated record